This 253-nucleotide ribosomal RNA is filed under the name uncultured bacterium. RNAcentral's name for it is "partial 16S ribosomal RNA". It matches the Rfam family "Bacterial small subunit ribosomal RNA", at positions 524 to 776 of the family's 1533-position model. The record is from RNAcentral.
UACGAAGGGGGCGAGCGUUGUUCGGAUUUACUGGGCGUAAAGGGCGCGCAGGCGGCUCAUUUUGUCAGGCGUGAAAGCCCCGAGCUUAACCUGGGAACUGCGUUUGAUACGGAUGGGCUAGAGUUCGGGAGAGGAGAGUGGAAUUCCCGGUGUAGAGGUGAAAUUCGUAGAUAUCGGGAGGAACACCGGUGGCGAAGGCGGCGACCUGGGUAGAUACUGACGCUGAGGUGCGAAAGCGUGGGGAGCAAACAGG